AAAGCAGGGAAAAAGAGCAAUAAUCCCAACUGGCAAUCCAAAAAUAACCAGAUUGGAGGGUGGAAGGAAAAGAAGGAAAGAGGGAAGAGAAAAAUGGAGAGGUAAAUUGCUAUUCUGUAGCCGCAGUUCCCUUGCAAGGAGGAGCAGAGAGGCUUUAUUCUAUGUAUGUGUAAAUACAGUGUUUCAGU
Molecule: long non-coding RNA, 188 nt
Filed under: Anas platyrhynchos platyrhynchos (common mallard)
Lineage: Eukaryota; Metazoa; Chordata; Aves; Anseriformes; Anatidae
Description: lncRNA (ENSAPLG00000020762.1)
Source: RNAcentral